GGGGUAGCAAUACUUCGAUUUGGCGCACGGCGCACGGGUGCGUAACACGUGGGUGACCUGCCCUUGGAUGGGGAAUAACCCCGCGAAAGCGGGGCUAAUACCGCAUAAAAUUCUUCGACAUACGGGUUGAGGAAUCAAAGUCUUCGGACGUCCGAGGAGGGGCCCGCGGCCGAUUAGCUAGUUGGCGAGGUAAUGGCUCACCAAGGCAAUGAUCGGUAGCUGGUCUGAGAGGAUGAUCAGCCACACUGGAACUGAGACACGGUCCAGACUCCUACGGGAGGCAGCAGUGGGGAAUCUUGCGCAAUGGGCGAAAGCCUGACGCAGCAACGCCGCGUGUAGGAUGAAAUCUUUCGGGAUGUAAACUACUGUUAGAGGGGAAGAAAGUCUUGACUUGUCGAGACCUGACGGUACCCUCAGAGAAAGCCCCGGCUAACUCUGUGCCAGCAGCCGCGGUAAUACAGGGGGGGCAAGCGUUGUCCGGAAUUACUGGGUGUAAAGGGUCCGUAGGCGGAUCGGUAAGUCAGUGGUUAAAUCCUGCAGCUUAACUGUAGACUAUCCAUUGAUACUGCCGGUCUUGAGUGCGAGAGAGAUGA
This 593-nucleotide ribosomal RNA is filed under the name uncultured bacterium. RNAcentral's name for it is "bacterial SSU rRNA". It matches the Rfam family "Bacterial small subunit ribosomal RNA", at positions 73 to 660 of the family's 1533-position model. The record is from RNAcentral.